Non-coding RNA from Schizosaccharomyces pombe (fission yeast), 476 nucleotides. Lineage: Eukaryota; Fungi; Ascomycota; Schizosaccharomycetes; Schizosaccharomycetales; Schizosaccharomycetaceae. The record is from the annotation of a GenBank genome assembly.
GUUAUUGCAUAAAGGACUUUAUUUUUUGUUUCAUCCGAAUCCUCUUUUUUUAGGGCGCCGAAGAGAAUCUUCAAUCCAUCAUUUUCUAUAAGCGCUUGUUGAGAUUUAGGAUUAUUUUGAACGGCAGUUGCGAUCGUCCAAGCAGCUAAUCUGCGCAAGGUAGAUUCCGGACUCUCAAGCUGUUUCAAUAGGCGAGGCCACAAUUGCAGGGGAACCAAAUUAUUUGCAUUGUCAAUAUGCUCUACGAGCAUUUCUAAGUUGUCAAAAGCUAUCUCUUUCUGAUCUAAAGGUACCGAUGGAUCCUCAAUUGCGUCCAUCGCUUUCCUCAUUUCAUCAGCUGGGUUUGCUCCAAAAAUAUGAUCUAAAACUGAGGGAUCAAGGUCUUUAGGAUCAGGAGGAGAAUUGGAAGAGUUUCCUUGAGCUUGCAACUGCGUACUGAAGGCCAAAAGUUUCUCCAUUGUGUCAAGAAUAAACAA